GGUCUUAUAGUCAAUAAUGAUUUUGAAUUGCAAAUUCGAAGGUGAAUGAUAAUUCUAAGGCUU
RNAcentral lists this transfer RNA (63 nucleotides) under Pyrophorus divergens (Brazilian luminescent click beetle). Its description in RNAcentral is "tRNA-Cys". Lineage: Eukaryota; Metazoa; Arthropoda; Insecta; Coleoptera; Elateridae. The record is from RNAcentral.